UCAUUUGCCAUAAGUUGUAAAACAUACUAACCAGAUGCAUAAAGUAAGAAGGCUAGAACCAAACAAAACAUCGUUGGAGAACUCUUUCCACCCAUUAUGAUCAAUGAAGAAAAACUACGAUUAUGAAAAAGAAGUUGCAACAAUUGUAUUGCCUUCGUGAUAAAUUUAUAGGGAGAGUAACAAGCUUUUCUUUCCUUGUUGUAAAAGAGGGAGUAGUUAAUUGAGUCGGCUAAAAAUGACAUUAGUAUUAUUAAAUACAAAUUAUUGAUUUUGAUUGAGCAAGAUAAAAGUGACAUUUCAACUAACAUAUACAAAUUAUUGGUUUUUCAAAAAUGACAUUCUUGUACCAAAUAUAAAUAAUAGGCAUCUUAUCUCGUCAACAACUUUUUACAUGUUGCUUUUUUAAAUUUAUUAUAUCAUUAUAAUAUAUAAUUUCUCCUUUAAUAUAUAUGUCAUUGCUUUUAAAAUUUGCAAGAAGAUUUUAUUAAUACAAGACGAUAGUUAUUGAAAGUAAGAAAGAGCAUUAUACCUAAAAGAUCCUCUUACUAAUGCAAAGCAGUACUUAAAAAUAAAUAUUUUUAAUAUACACUAAAAGUCUAGAAAGUAAGAACAAAUGUUACAAUGAAAAGGCCAACAUACCUCUCACGAACCAAAAUCUCAUCUAAUCGUGAUGAUACCUAGUGUGUUUUAGUAGUGCCUAUGACUUCGUACUAACGGUUUUGGGAAAUGUAUAGUUACUGGACAUUUGCGGCUAUGUAUAUCAUUUAAUGAUUUAUGAUAAAUGAUUAAAUAGUUCAAUUAUGUUAUUCAAUCACCAUGUGUUAGGCUUACCUAGUCUUAGAGACUAGGUGUCAUCACGACAUCAUACGGGGGGAAACUGGGGUCGUGACAAAUAUGGAUUAGCCGAUAUCGACUUAAUAUCAUCAAACAAUACUAGAGAAUUCAAUUGCAAUAGAUAAAGUUAAGAUCUUUACACUUUUUUCAAAAAGACAACAAACGUCAAACCGGGGUUCGCCCGGUCAAACCCCGGGUCCAAUGGUAGAUUCCGUCCAUCCAUAACCUCACGAUUUCAUAUAUGUGAUUAGUUUCAAAAUGCGAGUCCAAAUCGACUCUCAAAACUCAAUUUCUUAUUUUUCAAAAACUAAGCAAAGUUUCGCCAAUUUCUACUUUGAUUCAAAUGGUUUUGAUGUUAAAAUCUAAGAUAUGUUGAUGGAAUAUGAUUAGAAAUAGAUUAGAAUCACUUGCUCAAGGUUUGUAGGUGAAAAUCCCUUCUCCAAAUCGCCUCCUACUAAGUUUAGGGUUAAAAAAUAUGAGAAUGAGUUCAAAAAUCCCGUCUGCCAACUCUUUAACCAGCUGCAAAUGUCACAUUUGCGACACAUGGUUUGCAUUUGCGAACCCUCACAAUUGUGGACUAGGGCUCGCAUUUGCGAACACUGACAGGCUCAACAUGCAUUGCAAUUGCAAUAAAGCCUUCGCAAUUGCGAACUGGGGAACAUCGCAAAGGCGGGCAAAUUGUUCGCAACUGCGAACAUGACCAAAUUCUGCUAGCUUCGCAAAUGCGAAGGUGAGAUCGCAUUUGCAACAACUGCCCAUCACCUAUCGCCUUCGCAAAUGCGAGCCUGGUGUUCGCAUUUGCGACACCAGAGCAACAUACAUCAGUUUCUGCAAAUAUUCAGUCCAAAAUAUUUCUGGAACAUGUCCGAAACUUAUCUGAGCCAUUGGGGCUCCAAACUAAACAUACACACAAGUCUAACAAUAUCAUACGAACUCGCUCGCGCGAUCAAAACACAAAAAUAGCAUCUAAAACUAUGAAUCGAACACUAAAACGCAUGAUUUUCCAAGAAAUUUUCAAGAACUUCUAGAAUUAGAACUAAGCGUCUGAAACCUAUCAAAUCAGCUCCAAACAACACCAAAUUUUGCAGACAAAUUCUAAAUGCCAUAACGUACCUAUUUUAAAUCCCAAAAUCAAAUUACGAGCUCGAUAGCUAAAAGUCAACCUACGGUCAAACUUUUCAACUUUAAAUUGCCAAAUUUCGGCAAGUCAACACAAAUCAACAUACGGACUGCCAAAAUCAAUUCCGGACAUACGCCAGAGUCCGAAACCACGAUACGAAACUAUCAGAGUCAUAAAAACACAGUUCCUGGGUCGUUUUCACAAAAUUCAAUGUUUGGUCAAUAAUUUCAAAUUUAAACUUCUAAGUCAAGAAUCAAGGGUCCAAUUCAACUCGAAAGCUUUCCAGAACGAAACUAAUCAGCCCCGCAAGUCAUAAAAGCAUAAAUACACAUGUGUGAAGCAAUAAAAAUGGGUAAUGGGGCGCAAUUACACAAAACGACAAAUCGGGUCGUUUCACAUCAUUAUACAUGUGUUAUCUUUAUAUUAGACUCUGACUGUCUUCUUCUGCGCUUGUCACUGCUUUCAGCCCAAGGUUAGCUCUGUUACUUAUUGAGUACAUGGUUGGUUGUACUCAUACUACACUCUGCGAUUCGUGUGCAGAUCCAGGUACAUCUGGACGUGGUGAUUGCUAGAUCUAUGCUAGUACCUGUUUGGAGAUUUCAAGGUAGCAGCUAUGACGUCCGCGGAUCUCGACUCUCUUUUCCUUAUUUUCUUCAGUACUGUUCUAUUAAUCAAACAGUUGUACUAGGGAGCUUGUUUAUGUUUUGAUACUCAGUAGUGCUCUUGUACUCGUUGAUACCGUAUUUUGGGGUGGUUGUAGUAGUAUUUAUGUUAUUUGUAGCAGAUAUUUAUGACAUUUCCAUUGUUUAGUUUAUUAAACAAUGUUUAUUCAAACGUCUAACUGCUAUGCGGUUGUUUUGUCUAGCAAGUGUGUUAAGCGCCAUCACGACAGAUUGAGAUUUUUGGUCGUGACGAUUUUAUAUAAAUCUCAAACACACCCAACGGAAUAUACAACAAUCCAAUAAAAAACAACUCAAAAUUAGGAGAAAUAUUUAAAAAUACAUUACCACAUCAUAGGUUCUAGAAGUUGAUAUAUCUACAUAAUCAUAAUGAUUGUUUACGACCUCAACUUCAGUACAAAUCUUAUUUUAGUAUUUUGUACGAACCUCAAUAAAAAUAUUAUUUUAAUAAUUAUGGACCACAGCUGCCAUGGGGGCUGAAAACGGAACACUCAAAGGCACCAGGGUAACACUUGGGGCCACAAGUUGCACCAAUACAGUCGCUGUCAGUCUUACAACACCUAGUGUAUAUGCAAAAUCCAAGUUUUCUAGGACGACUAAAAUAGAAGGGUCCUGCAUACAAAAAACAAGUCCCAUAAUACUCAUACAUUUAUCAAAGCCAUCACUAAUUUAGAAAAAAAUAGAAGAUUCGUAAUAACUUCGUAUAGCAUACAUUAUACGAAGUUAUACGNNNNNNNNNNNNNNNNNNNNNNNNNCUUUUUCUUUUUAGGAGAUAAAUUUACUUUAUGAGCACCACACAAACACAUAUAUUUUCAGUUUUCUUGAAAAACUUUGUAUUAAGACAAUAGCUGUUGUCAGACAAAAAUGAUCAAUACUAUGAUUUAAAAUUAUAGAUUCCUUUUACCUUGACUUAUUCAAGAUACACAUCGUAUAAUACAUUUAGAAAACUUCAUUUAAAAAUAGAACACGAUACUAACUUAAGAAGCGAAAAGUUUAAAUUCUUUGCACACACUAAACUUUGAGGGCUUAAAACUGAAAGUUUGUCCUAAUAUACUUCAUAUAUACGGAUACAUUUGUGCCAAUUAUCAAUUUCUAUACGCCCGUAUCAUUAAAUGAUAUUUAUGUUUUUUGACACCUUAAAUAAUUACCACAAAUUGAUGCUUGGACUAAAAACUGAUCAAUUAGAACUAAAAAUAGAGUCACAUACCAUAAUAACUUUAUAUGAUCGAUCAACAUAUGUAUUAAUCUUUUGAAUGUAGAAAGCAGAUUUUUCAUGAUCAUGCUAUUAGAAUUAGGGGUGGGUAUAAAAUCCGAAAAACCGAAUUCCGAACCGAAUCGAAUUAAUUUGGUAUUUCGGUUUCAGUCUUUUCGAUAUUUCGGUUUAUUUCGGUACAGAAAUUUCGGUAUUUCGUUAAUUUGGUAUGGUAUACGGUAUCGGGUUUUUGAUAUUUCGGUAUUUCGGUAUAGUACCGAAAUACCAAAAUAGUUUAGUUUAUUUUUGUUGCUGCAUAGUUGGAAACGUUGUAGAUCACAACUUUUACUGUUGUCAGGUGACUUGUUUAUCACCCAAUAUGGGUUGGGUUAAUCCAUGGGGAGCCCUGAUAUUUUCAAUCAGUUUUAGUUUAUUAACGGUCCAUUUAGAUAAAAUCCGAAUGAUUUCUUAAAACAGUUGCCUAUCUUACUAAAAUGAAAUCUGCAAUGGUAUAUCCAAAAUGGUAAUUUUUUCUCUGUGAAAUGUCUCAAAGUGAUGCCUAGUCUUAUAGCAAAACUUGAUUUUACCUUCUUUGUACAACCUUUCCCCCGUUCUAUUCUAAAAUUAUAGAAAUAGAGAGUAAAUUGUGUACUGAUCUCUUAUUCAAUACUAAGGUGUUAAAUAAUUAUAUUCUUGACUAUCAUGCAAUAGGAUAUUUGGUAUACAUAGUGUACUGGUGUUAAUGUAAAUAAUUUGUGACUGAAUAAGAAUAAUUCGGAUGUAACAACAUAAUAUUCUUAAAUAUAGCAUCUCUACUCUUUGAAUUUUAAAAUAUUGAAAUUAAUUAAACAUUAAGAAUAUAAAAUAUGUAGAGAGAACAUAGCUUUAUUUACAAAAUAGAUGCAUAGAAACUACUCUUGUUCUGAAAUUCCUAAACUUUCAAUAAUAUUCUAUAAACAUGUUUUAUAUAUCAUGACCUUUGCAAAAGAUUCUUACUUUAUUUCAGUUUUUGUAUAAAAAGAAUCGCAAAUUAUAGUGUUUUCGUUAUCAAGCUGAUUGAACUGUACUAUUACGGAUUACUAGCCCCAUUUAACCUUGAGCAUGUUAAAACAAUCUCAACCCAUUUAGCCUUGAUAAGAACUUGCUGAGUUCAGGUUGUGCUACGUAUUACGUCGUAUGUCCCCACAGUCGAUGCCUUCGUGGAAAUACUCUUGUCUAAAAACCUAAUAUGCAAUUCUACCAAGAUCACACUUUUUGUGCCUCAGGUGAAGCAUUUUGACCUUUUGUUUGGGAUGUCAAGUCAUCCAAAGGUUUUUUUCUACAUAUACACCAAUUUAUGUACCAUUUUUUUUAAUUAAGAAACAAACAAAAUUUUUGAUUCUAUAUCAGAUUGAUCUUUGGUGGAAUCUCAAACAACAUGGAUUAAAUUAGUUAAGGAGUGGGGGAGACACUCUAGAUUUGAUUUAAACCGAAACCGUACCGAACUAAAAUAAAAAAUACUGAACCGUACCGAAAUAUUUUGGUACGGUAUUUGGUAUACAUAAUUGAUAAACCGAAUACCGAAUCGAAAUUCUUAAAUACCGAACCGAAGUACCGAAUGACCACCUAAUUAGUAUUAUGUUAGCUAUUAUAUUGAUGUCUAAUUGAUUAAAGAACAAUUUGCUUGUUGUGUCCUAUAAAUGAGAAAUGUAUACUUAAAAGAAUGUAAUUAAUGUAAUAUAGUACGGGAAAAAAUAAGUUGACCAACAGGCAUACCAUAACGAGUCGCAACCACUUGAACAAAUUCAUCAACUUUUUCGGCGUCAAGGUCUUUUGAUACCGGAAGUUGUAAAACAUUCAACUCAGUUGACUUGACCUCCUCAUUUGCCAUAAGUUGUAGAGCUGCCAUAUUUGUAAUAAAGUUUGUGUUAAUUAUUUUGAUAUCUAAAAAUAAUCUCUUUUGAUAGUCGAGGUUGAAGUAGGGGGGAGAAAGUAGUGAGAGUAAAAUCCGAACAUUUAUAUAUAAUAAAAUUAUACUAACCAGA
Molecule: long non-coding RNA, 5850 nt
Filed under: Nicotiana tabacum (common tobacco)
Lineage: Eukaryota; Viridiplantae; Streptophyta; Magnoliopsida; Solanales; Solanaceae
Description: long non-coding RNA (NTAB_LNC017648)
Source: RNAcentral